UAUUCUCUCUCUCUCUCUCUCUCUCUGUUUUUACUCUUAAAUAUUACAUUACUAAUAAGCAUUUUUAUGGAGAGCAAUGUGAUUUAAUAAGCUUCAUUAUUUUUGCAAUUUGGGUAUAAAAUUUAGUAAUACAAAAUAAGGAAUGGGGCUCUAAGUUUAAUGUGUGUGUGUGUGUGUGUGUGCUUGUGUGUGUGUGUGUGAUAUUCUUGGUUGUAAUGGCUAUCCUAGCCUUAUUUUCCUCAUUCAUAUUUUUCUCAAUUAUUUUCUGGAUUUUCUCAAUUAUUAUUUUCUUUUGGUGCUGUAGUAUCUUUGUAAGUUACAUCAAAACUAAUGAAGUAGGGAACAAAUAAAUAAGUUGAACAAACCAUUAGAUUCAAUUUAUGCUCCCAACAAAUAACCAUUUAUAACUCAAGCCUUCAAAAAAUUAUAACAAUUUCAUAAUGAACAAUGGAUAAUUUAUGGAGACUUUGUGGCAGCAAUGAAUACAAUUAUGGGUAAAUUGUCUCCAACAAAUAACUUCUGGAAUAUCCACUCUCCUUAUAAUCUCAGAAACAGAAUACCAAACCUAUCAGUAAGAGAUAAUAUUUUCUAGUCAUUUGAGGAUUCAAUUUGUUAGAUUAUGUCGUUAACUUUAUCAGGUUGUGUCUUAUAUUGCAUUCGCUAAAUGGAAGACUAGCUACUCAAACUUUACCUGAGGUUCCUGUAAGCCUUCUCAGAAUACAAAGAAGGAUGAGGGACCAGCUUUUGUUCUUCACAAUUCCAUGUUGUUAUAUGAUGCAGAAGUUACAAAGCUUUCAUCAACAAUUACUGACUACUUUCAUUGUCAUCCCCAUGUGGGAGUUCUGAAAGACCGUUUGAAAUUCGUUCGAGUAACAGAAGAGAGUGCACAGUGCAGCCUUCUGGAUUAAACAAAGAAUAAGAGAAAAAAUCUUCACUUCUAUCAAAGGUGCAAGCAAUGGAGGGAGCAUCAACACAAACAAAACAGGCGUCAGCCAGAAAGCCUAUAGGAAACCAUGGAGGAAGAUCAAAAUCAGAUUCUUAGAAGUGAGCUGUUCCAGGAGCAGCUUGCGCCCCGAGCAGAGAGGAAGAGUGGCCACCCCAAGCCCCUUCCUGGGAUCUACACUCAGCAGCUCAGCCUCAAGCCAACGUGGCUUUGAACUGUGACGCAAUUGUUGUUUGAGUGCUGAUAACUAGAGAGUAUUGACAUGACGAGGAGAGAGACCUUUGUUAUGCUGACGAACUCUUCAGGACCCAGGAGAGGACAUACAAAUGAACAGGGUGCUUCGGUCACGUACAUGCCAAGAUCACCACAGCACCCAUAGGAAAUGAUAAGAUUUUGGCACACUUGUGAUACACUGUUUGCGGAGUUCUGCUCUGUUGUGUCAGGAGAAAAGCAAGUGAGAUGGCAGGAGAGGCCUUGAAGCCACAGCCUUAAUAAUUAGACGAGCCCCAAUUAAUUAAGUACCUCCAAUAAAAGGCACUCUGCAUGUAUUGGCUUAUUUAACCCCUUUAACAACUACCUGGGAUGGGUGUUAUUUCUUUUCCUUUCCAUUAAGGAAAUCGAAGCUUAGACAUUUAGUGUUAUAUUCAGGUCCAUGGGAGUGGUAAAUGCCAGAGCCGUGUUUUGAAUCUAGGCCGGACCCCCAAAUCCCACAUUCUUUUCUCCGCAAACGGCAGGACAUCAGGGGCUUCCGUGUGCCUAAGUGUCUUCGAAUGUUAAAGGACUCUUAUGUGACAGAGAGAAUAGAAAAUUCUAAUACUGUAGGAGGUCAAGCUAGUAGCUAUGAGUGGAAUCGUGAAGGAAGACAGGCUUUACCUCAGAAUAAAGAAGAAACGAUAAUCUCGUGAAGGUAGAACUUCUCCCCCCAUAUGGUAUUUAGCAAGUGAUUGCUUCUUAGGGAAUUUUAGAGGAGACUCUUGUUUGGACGACCUCUGCUUUCUUCCAACUUCAAGAGUAUGAUGUUAUUGGGAUAUAAAAAGCAUGAGAAGAUCCUUUUACAAAUAUCGUUUCUCCUACAUGAACUUUCUAAGGAGGGAUUUGUAUUUUAGAUUAACUACAGGUGGAGGAAGAGCUCAUUUGCAUUCUUGAUCCAAGAGAGAAGGAUCAAUAAUUCUCCAAAGAGUUUACAAGUGCCUUUGUUAGAAGACUGCCCUACUAUUCUGCACCUUCCAGGGCCUGGGCCUGGAGUUUUCCUUCUGAAAAAUCAAAAUACAGUCUGCAACUGCCACCACCGCAGGACUGAGAUGGACCAAAGAGUAUCCAUUACUUUCCAUAAGUCUUCCCAAAGAAGUGAAUGGACACCAAUUAGCAAGAAAUCUUGAAAUCCAUAGACUGUCCUACUUUGGGGAAUGGUUUAAGUGUUUAUUUCAUGUGAUUUUGUUGGUAUGUGUAAGAGAAAGCACUGUAUUUAUUUUCAGAUUUUCUCUUUUUUUUAAAGAGGGCAUAAUACCUUUUUCAUUUCCCCACCACCUGUUUAAUAAACACACUUCCAGUUUUUACUUUAGAAUAGCAACUAGUCUGAUAAAUCAAGGGUUCUCUAAGAAGAAUAUUUGUAUCCUAGGGGCACCUGGGUGGCUCAGUUGGUUAAGCGUCCACCUUCAGCUCAGGUCAUGAUCUCACGGCUUGUGAGUUCGAGCCCCCGCG
Felis catus (domestic cat) is the source of this 2644-nucleotide long non-coding RNA. RefSeq lists it as uncharacterized. The record is from RefSeq and is a predicted model, not a curated record. The transcript has 3 exons. NCBI's taxonomy places the organism in Eukaryota, Metazoa, Chordata, Mammalia, Carnivora, Felidae.